GCCGGUUCGAGUGCAGUGGCAUUUACAACUCAUUGAUCACAAUCAGUUACAGAUCCUUUGUUCCUUCUCCACUCCCACUGCUUCACUUGACAAGACUUAA
This 100-nucleotide Y RNA is filed under the name Prolemur simus (greater bamboo lemur). RNAcentral's name for it is "Y RNA (ENSPSMG00000002682.1)". It matches the Rfam family "Y RNA". Rfam says of the family: Y RNAs are components of the Ro ribonucleoprotein particle (Ro RNP), in association with Ro60 and La proteins. The Y RNAs and Ro60 and La proteins are well conserved, but the function of the Ro RNP is not known. The record is from RNAcentral. Lineage: Eukaryota; Metazoa; Chordata; Mammalia; Primates; Lemuridae.